CCUACGGGUGGCAGCAGUGAGGAAUAUUGGUCAAUGGACGAGAGUCUGAACCAGCCAAGUAGCGUGAAGGAUGACUGCCCUAUGGGUUGUAAACUUCUUUUAUAUGGGAAUAAAAUGUUCCACGUGUGGGAUUUUGUAUGUACCAUAUGAAUAAGGAUCGGCUAACUCCGUGCCAGCAGCCGCGGUAAUACGGAGGAUCCGAGCGUUAUCCGGAUUUAUUGGGUUUAAAGGGAGCGUAGGUGGAUUUUUAAGUCAGUUGUGAAAGUUUGCGGCUCAACCGUAAAAUGGCAGUUGAAACUGGCAGUCUUGAGUACAGUAGAGGUGGGCGGAAUUCGUGGUGUAGCGGUGAAAUGCUUAGAUAUCACGAAGAACUCCGAUUGCGAAGGCAGUUCACUGGACUGCAACUGACACUGAGGCUCGAAAGUGUGGGUAUCAAACAGGAUUAGAUACCCUGGUAGUC
This 460-nucleotide ribosomal RNA is filed under the name uncultured bacterium. Its description in RNAcentral is "partial 16S ribosomal RNA". It matches the Rfam family "Bacterial small subunit ribosomal RNA", at positions 338 to 795 of the family's 1533-position model. The record is from RNAcentral.